This 510-nucleotide ribosomal RNA is filed under the name uncultured bacterium. RNAcentral's name for it is "bacterial SSU rRNA". It matches the Rfam family "Bacterial small subunit ribosomal RNA", at positions 133 to 659 of the family's 1533-position model. The record is from RNAcentral.
CAAGAGGGGGAUAACAUUCUGAAAAGAAUGCUAAUACCGCAUGAUAUAUUGGAACCACAUGGUUCUGAUAUCAAAGAUUUUAUCGCUUGAAGAUGGACUCGCGUCCGAUUAGUUAGUUGGUGAGGUAACGGCUCACCAAGACCGCGAUCGGUAGCCGGACUGAGAGGUUGAACGGCCACAUUGGGACUGAGACACGGCCCAGACUCCUACGGGAGGCAGCAGUGGGGGAUAUUGCGCAAUGGGGGCAACCCUGACGCAGCAACGCCGCGUGAAGGAUGAAGGUUUUCGGAUUGUAAACUUCUUUUAUUAAGGACGAAAAAUGACGGUACUUAAUGAAUAAGCUCCGGCUAACUACGUGCCAGCAGCCGCGGUAAUACGUAGGGAGCAAGCGUUGUCCGGAUUUACUGGGUGUAAAGGGUGCGUAGGCGGCUUUGCAAGUCAGAUGUGAAAUCUAUGGGCUCAACCCAUAAACUGCAUUUGAAACUGUAGAGCUUGAGUGAAGUAGAGGCA